MicroRNA precursor from Urocitellus parryii (Arctic ground squirrel), 67 nucleotides. NCBI's taxonomy places the organism in Eukaryota, Metazoa, Chordata, Mammalia, Rodentia, Sciuridae. The record is from Ensembl.
AGCAGCACAGACUUGCUGUGAUGUUCACGUGGAGAGGAGUUAAACAUCACUGCAAGUCUUAACAGCC